UCCUCUCCUCGUGAGCGCACAAGCCAGUGGAAAGAUUCGUCGUCACACAGUCUACGGUCGUCACUGACGUCGUAGCGCAGCCAAGGGACAACAAUCACCGAGAGCACGCGCUGAAUCAACACGAAGAUGUCACUUGAUGUCCAAUGUAAAAUUUGGUCCCUGAAGCAAAACCAGUUUUUCCUAUUAUGGUGUCAGCUGUCUGGACUCUCAUUCUGAUGGCACCCAUUCAUUGCUGAGGAUCCAUUGGUGAGCAAAUGAUGCAAUGCUACAUUCUCCAAAUCUGUUCUGAUGACGAAACUCACCUACAUGGUCUGAGGUGUGAACCCUCUGUCCAUGGAGAAGAAUGGAGCUGUCGUUUUCAAGAUGUGAUUUCACAAGCCAAGGCAGUAAAGGAAAAGAGUUUAAAAGAUCAAGUGCCAUUCUUGAUGUUUUCUGGUUUCUGAAAUAACAAUACAGUCACAUUUAUAUCACAAGAUAUUUCAGAUAUUAAAGGCUUAUAUCACAGAUAAGCCUGGCAGGGACGUGGGUGGCAGGCCUUCAAAUUGCCAAUAUUCUUUGAGAGAGAUAUUUUUAUGCCUCCUUCCGCAUUCAACAUUAAUAUGCAAUAUUCUACAUGAAAUGGAAAUAAAAAAUGAAUUUACAUGCGUCUUUGAUAGAUUUAAUUGUCUGAGAAAUGGAACUCUUGCUGCUAUCAGAAUAAUUUAUUAAUAAAUUCC
RNAcentral lists this long non-coding RNA (716 nucleotides) under Sinocyclocheilus anshuiensis. RNAcentral describes it as "lncRNA (ENSSANG00000003373.1)". Lineage: Eukaryota; Metazoa; Chordata; Actinopteri; Cypriniformes; Cyprinidae. The record is from RNAcentral.